GGGUAACCUGCCUCUACCAUCCGUCCUAUUAGGCAACGUGUAAUCAUUGGAUAAUAAACUGGAUGAGCUCCGUUCAAGACUAUCCUACCAACGGGACAUUAAAAAUGGUUAUAUCUUAUGUUUCACUGAGUCGUGGCUGAACGACGACAUGGAUAAUAUACAGAACAGCUGCAUCCGUGACCGUACGUACAUACCCCAACCAGAAGCCAUGGAUUACAGGCAACAUCCACACUGAGCUAAAGGGUAGAGCUUCUGCUUUCAAGGAGCGGGACUCUAACCCGGACGCUUAUAAGAAAUCCCGAUAUGCCCUCAGACGAACCAUCAAACAGGCAAAGCGUAAAUACAAGACUAAGAUUGAAUCCUACUACACCAGCUCCGACACUAGUUGGAUGUGUCAAGGCUUGCAAACUAUUACGGAAUACAAAGGGAAGCCCAGCCGCGAGCUGCCCAGUGACACAAGCCUACCAGACGAGCUAAAUGACUUCUAUGAGCGCUUCAGGGGAGGGAAACUGAAGCAUGCAUGAGAGCACCAGCUGUUCCAGAUGACUGUGUGAUCACACACACCGUAGCCAAUAGGACCUGAGCCCUAGGACCAUGCCUCAGGACUACCUGACAUGAUGACUCCUUGCUGUCCCCAGUCCACCUGGCCGUGCUGCUGCUCCAGUUUCAACUGUUCUGCCUUAUUAUUA
This is a long non-coding RNA of Oncorhynchus tshawytscha (Chinook salmon), 689 nucleotides long. NCBI's taxonomy places the organism in Eukaryota, Metazoa, Chordata, Actinopteri, Salmoniformes, Salmonidae. The record is from Ensembl.